CAAUUUGACGUAUGAACAAGCUGCUUGCUAGAAUUUACAAUUUAGUCCAACAAUAUUUGACGCGGGUUCUAGUUAUAAAUUAUAACAACCAAUACCAAUCCUGGAAAUUAUUCAAGGAAAAAUCAGUUUAGCAACGACUGCGAUAUUUACAAAAAUGGUGAAAAUCAGAGAAAAUCAAGGUCCUAUUUUGAAUUUAAAAGAGGCUGAAAAACUCUCAAAUUGAGUUUUGAAGUGACAAGUUUCGUCUAAUUUUUACCUUUCUUCCCGAUUUCUGACCAUUAUUUAUGCGUUUGCCCGAUGGUGGAUUAAAGCACUUAACCCAUUUAUAACCAUUUAUAAGCCUUUAUAACCAUUUAUCUCAAUCAGAGGAUUAUUGUGUGAGAGUUAUCACGUGAAAUCAGUGUGGCUUAUUCUUCGAUUCUCUUUAUAUGGAGAGAAUUUCUAUUUUGAUUUUUUUUCAACUUUUCGAUUUGUGAGGAAAAUUGACUUGUGUUUUCCUCUUAAAAAAAUGAACUUUUCUAAAGCAAGUUAAUUGAAUUUUUUUUUUGAAAAGCUCAAAAUGUAUUGAAAAGCUCAAAACUGAUUGAGAACAUAGAUGUUUAUUGGUAAUUUCAAAAAAAGUCCUCGGAUAUCUGAUAAUACGAAAUUUGUUCUUCAAUCGUGUUUGGAAGCAAAAAAUUAGGACACACAAGAAGUAAGUUGUAACAAAAAUAGUUAUUUCGGCCAAGCUGUAUGUCAAUUUAUUUUUACAAAAUAAGUUGACUUUAAAAAACAUUUGAAAGACUUUUUAGUGGAAAUUUGAGUCUGAUUACAUUUUUAUCACGCUCCUUACUUCUGGUAAAUUAUACUCUUGCUUUAGAAGAAGCUAACUUUUUGAUUAAUUCUUUGAUCAAAUUUCAUUUCAUUCAUACUGUUCCUAAUUUCAAGUUUACAUUAUUGGACUAGUUUUUGUUCAGAGUGCUAUGUAAAUGUUCAGUCAUGUAGCAUGAUUGAAAUAUCCAAAGAAGUAAUUAUCCCCGGAAAAUUUUCCUUAGCCUUCAGAAAUUCAACUCAAGGAACGUGCAUCCAUUUUUGGAUUUCACUUCUAAUUUAAUGCCUUUUUAGACAAAGAGCCAUCCGUUUAUUCCGUGAUUUACUGGAGCGAAAAAAUUCGAAGAAAGUGUCUCUCAAAAUAUGCGCGGCCAUCAGGGCUUUUAGUUGGAUUGUUAAAAUGCCAAAUUGUUCCAGUUCAUUCGUUCUGCGACGAAAAUUUUACCCAAGAUAAUUCGAUUUGACAAUUCUUCCCUGUUGAUAAAUUAUACCCAAAACUUUUCCUUACCUUGCAAGCAAAAUGUAUCUCUUUUGUUUAUGGCAGUUAUUGUUGUUCUUUAUUUUUUUCUCUGUGAGUAAACAAGAAAAAAAUGUCAAAAUACUGAGUUUGGUACCAUUUUUGGGUUGCAAGAAAAACAACGAAAGUUCAGACGAAGUGAAAUUUCUGCGAAACUACGUGGAGCCGAGAUCUUUAUGUGAGUUAUCAUCUUCGGCACUUCAAGGUUUGAACAAAGGAAUUGAAGCUGUGAACAGGGAGAAUUAUCACACCAAUCUUGCCGUUACUCAUCGAGAGACACAGUGCCGUGUGGAUGAAGGAACAAGGCAACUAUUCCAGUUCUUUGCCCAAAUCAACAGCCACUUUUCAAACAACAACCCAACAUCUCCAUCCUCUUCUUCCGACGCUUCUCAGGGUCACCAGAGGUCAUCUUCAGGGGAGUCAAGGUCAACAGAGAUCAGAGGUGGUGCUCUGUAUGUAGUGGGUCCAUUGUGUCCAGGCGUGACUAGACAAG
Symsagittifera roscoffensis is the source of this 1820-nucleotide long non-coding RNA. RefSeq lists it as uncharacterized. The transcript has 3 exons. The record is from RefSeq and is a predicted model, not a curated record. Lineage: Eukaryota; Metazoa; Xenacoelomorpha; Acoela; Convolutidae.